RNAcentral lists this ribosomal RNA (460 nucleotides) under uncultured bacterium. RNAcentral's name for it is "partial 16S ribosomal RNA". It matches the Rfam family "Bacterial small subunit ribosomal RNA", at positions 338 to 795 of the family's 1533-position model. The record is from RNAcentral.
CCUACGGGAGGCAGCAGUGAGGAAUAUUGGUCAAUGGACGAGAGUCUGAACCAGCCAAGUAGCGUGAAGGAUGACUGCCCUAUGGGUUGUAAACUUCUUUUAUAUGGGAAUAAAACGUUCCACGUGUGGGAUUUUGUAUGUACCAUAUGAAUAAGGAUCGGCUAACUCCGUGCCAGCAGCCGCGGUAAUACGGAGGAUCCGAGCGUUAUCCGGAUUUAUUGGGUUUAAAGGGAGCGUAGGUUGAUUGUUAAGUCAGUUGUGAAAGUUUGCGGCGCAACCGUAAAAUUGCAGUUGAAACUGGCAGUCUUGAGUACAGUAGAGGUGGGCGGAAUUCGUGGUGUAGCGGUGAAAUGCUUAGAUAUCACGAAGAACUCCGAUUGCGAAGGCAGUUCACUGGACUGCAACUGACACUGAGGCUCGAAAGUGUGGGUAUCAAACAGGAUUAGAUACCCGAGUAGUC